Molecule: RNA transcript, 2989 nt
Organism: Myzus persicae (green peach aphid)
Lineage: Eukaryota; Metazoa; Arthropoda; Insecta; Hemiptera; Aphididae
Gene: Srrm1
Gene name: serine/arginine repetitive matrix protein 1
Exons: 20
Source: RefSeq, a predicted model, not a curated record
UCGAAGCGCGACCAAUCAGGAACUUCUCGUUACUUUUUUACCAUUGUUUUCGGCCGUGUGAGGUGCCGAGCGUCCGAGGCACUCCGAAGUGUCUGCAUUCAAUUUUGUUUUAAUAAUGUUAGUAAUUUUUAAUUAAUAUUGUACUGUGAAUUGUAGUUGGCAUUUUGUUGUUGUUUACCGUCCCGAGUGUUUCAAUAUUCUGAUCUGUUGGUUCUAGAACCGGAUUCAAGAUGUAUACGGGUACUAGUGCUGACCAGGACACUAGAUUCAGUGACAAAGAAAAAAAGCUUUUGAAACAAAUGAAAUUUAGUGAAUCUUUAAACGCUAAGGUUGAUAUGAAUAAAGUAAAGCUAGAUACUAUCAAACCUUGGAUUGGUAAAAGAAUAACAGAAUUGCUAGGAAUGGAAGACGAUGUUGUAGAAGAAUUUGUGAACAAUCAGCUUGAAGCAGAUACUUGGCCUGAUCCAAGAAAAAUGCAAAUAAAUCUCACAGGUUUCUUGAAUGGCAAAAAUGCUCGAGUAUUUAUGACGGACUUGUGGGAAUUACUUUUGUCUGCACAGGAAUCUCCAUCGGGAAUUCCCCCUAAAUUUAUUGAGCAAAAAAAAGAAGAAUUAAAAAAGAAAAUGGAAGAUCAAGAGCGAGUUGGAGAUAUGAUUAAGAAGUUUGAAAAAGACAAAGAAGACAGAGAAAAAGAAAGAAAAAAAGAUAGAGAAAGAAGAAAAAGUCGUAGUAGAUCACAUACACGAGAUCGUCGUAGCAGAUCUAGAGAUCGCCAUCGUGAUAAACGCGAUAAGGAAAAGGAAAGGGAUAAAUAUAAAGAUCAUGAUUCAGAUAAAGUACGAGAAAAACAUACAAAAAGAGAUUCUCGUUCAAAGUCUAAAGGAAAACUUGUAAGUAAUGGACAUACUUCGCCAACUACAAAAGAAAAAAGUCGUAGUUGUUCACCUAAAAAUGAUGUUACCUUAACUGAAGAAAAAACUACCAACUCAAAGACUUCCGUUUCACCAGCUAAAGAAAAAGUAGAAACAAAUAAUAAACCUAAACCUAAAGAUCGAUCAGUAUCUAGAGAUUCUACUAAACGUAGGGAGAAGAGACGACAUCAUUCUUCUUCAUCAAGUCGUAGUUCAUCAUCAUCUAAUUCUUCUCUAAGCCCUGACCGUAAAAAAGAUUUUGAAAUUCAGAAAAAAGAAAACAGUAUCCAAAAAAAAAGACAAUACCGAACAAAUAAAGAUGACUCUUCUGGUAGUGAAUCGGACAAAGAUAAAUCUACAGAUAGAAGAGAUCGCCGUGAUCGUUCAUCUUCUCGAUCAAGGCGUCCAUCUAGGCAUGCUUUCAAUCGUGGCCGCUAUCGUGAAAAAAGUCGUGAUCGUUACUAUAGAGAUAGAGAAAGGGAAAGGGCAAGAGAAAGAGAACGUAAUCGCCGUGAUCGUGAGAGGGAACGUAGAGAUAGAGAAAGAGCAAUUCGUGAAAGGGACCGUGAACGUGAUAGGCGCCGGCAGAGAGAAAGAGAAGAAAAAUCAUCACCUCGAAGAAGGAAAUCUAGAAGUCCUGAAAGAAAAUCUAGAUCGGGCAGCAGGCAUACCAGAUCUCGUUCAAAAUCUAAAAGGAGACCAAGUGGAAAAUCACGUAGCAGGGAACGUACUGUUAAAGACUCCAGUAUUGUUUCUCCGACAAAAAAAGAUAACUCUUCAAAAUCAAAGGUAUCUCAAGAAAGUUUAUCUAGAACCCCUUCACCUUUUAAGAAAGCUGAAGACAAGACAGACCGUAAACCGGUAAAAGAUAGAUUGGGUGUUAGAGAUGAACAACAUUCUAAAUUUUCUCAGCCACAAAGAUCAAAAGGACAAUCUCCUUCAUCAGAAAAGAAAAAUAACACAGAUAAAAAAAAUUCAUCAAGUUCAAGACGAAAAUCAUCAACAUCUCCUGCUAUUAAAAAGAAAGAUGAAGAAAAAACAGAAAAAGUUAAAAAACCUAUAAAAAAAUCUGACACUUCUGAUGCUGAAAACUCCAAAGUUAAAAAAAAGGAAGAAUCAAGUUCAUCAGAUGAAUCUAUAAAAAAGACUAAAAAGAAAGUUAAAAGAGAUUCUAGCUCAGAUGAUGAUAAAGUAAAAGCUAAAAAACGGAAACUCAAGGAUUCUACUUCAUCUGAUGAUGACGAUUCUAAGAAAAAAAAGAAACGUAAAAAGAGAUCGUCCAGUUCAAGUUCAGAUGAAAGUGAUGACAAAAAAAAGAAAAAAGACAAGAAACAUAAAAAACAUAAGAAGCAUAAGAAACACAAAAAACAUAAGAAACGCAAGACUGAAGAAAGUGGUUCUGAUGCCAAAUCUGGAGAUGAGUCAGAACAACGUCUAAGGGAAAAGGCAUUGCGUACCAUGAAAAAGAAAAAUCAGGCUAAACUUGACGGAACUCCGAAUAGUAAUAGCAGUGAAUAACGAACGAGCAACGAGAAUUUGACAGGUUAGCCUACUGUCCAGUCAACAGGCUGCUGACUUGUUGGCAGAGUUAUACUUGCAUCGUUUUCAUAGCGCUGUCUGAUCGUUUUUGAAGCCCCACAAUUGUUUUCUUUCAAUCAACAUUUUUAAUGAGCAACUACAGUACACCUAUCAACAUUCAUUCUGCAUUUCUCCUAUCAACAUAUCUGCAAUCAACAUUACUUCUAUCAACACACCUGCAAUCAACACUCUUUCUAUCAACAUAUCUACGUUCUACAUUACUUCUAUCAACAUAUCCAUGUUCAACAUUCCUUCUAUUAACACCAAAUCUUCACUGCAAUCAACAUUUCUGUCAUCGUCAAAUAUUCUUCAAUACUCUUUCAAGACCAUUUGAGUGUUUUGCGAUUUCCAAUGAUUGAAAACUAGCACUUGUCCACUAAUUACUCAUAUCCGUAUGAUUAGUAUAAUCCAGAAUAAGAUGACUUGUGCAAAUUUUAAUAUCUUAACCAAUGAUAGUUGUGUUAUGGAUAAAUACAAUACCUACGACCGCUGUUUGAAAA